Molecule: ribosomal RNA, 316 nt
Filed under: uncultured eukaryote
Lineage: Eukaryota
Description: partial 18S ribosomal RNA
Rfam family: Eukaryotic small subunit ribosomal RNA
Source: RNAcentral
CCCUUAGAUGUUCUGGGCCGCACGCGCGCUACACUGACGAAUGCAACGAGCUUAUAACCUUGGCCGAAAGGUCUGGGUAAUCUCCAAAUUUCGUCGUGAUGGGGAUAGAUUAUUGCAAUUAUUAAUCUUCAACGAGGAAUGCCUAGUAAGCGCAAGUCAUCAGCUUGCAUUGAUUACGUCCCUGCCCUUUGUACACACCGCCCGUCGCACCUACCGAUUGAAUGGUCCGGUGAAAUCCUCGGAUCGAGCCGUGGGGCAACUCCGGUUCGAGAAGUUGAUUAAACCUUACCAUUUAGAGGAAGGUGAAGUCGUAACA